Molecule: long non-coding RNA, 494 nt
Filed under: Pogona vitticeps (central bearded dragon)
Lineage: Eukaryota; Metazoa; Chordata; Lepidosauria; Squamata; Agamidae
Description: lncRNA (ENSPVIG00000001982.1)
Source: RNAcentral
GCAUUACCUUCUGCACAGCUGACAAAGAAGAUUCAGGUGAAGCAAGAAGCUUUUGAUUGCCAGACUGCCUGUGGGAAAACUGUGGUGCUGCUGAUGGAAUAAGAAGUGCUGCUGCCAGGAAAGGAUUUCUGCCUCUCUCCACUAGCUGCUGUAUUUUGGAUGAUUUUCUGGCAAACUAUCUGCUUGCCCCAGAGCAGAAAAGUUUUGGAAAUCUCCAUUAUGAUUAUAGGGUUGUAGCAACUAAAAGAGAGGAUUUUGCAUGGACUUCUAGCUAGGUGGGUAGGAGACCUGCCAUGACAGCUGUUGCAGAUGGGAAGAUGGGCAAUCUGAACUUUGGCAGCCUCUCUUACUUAACUAGGUCUGGAAAAAAUGAAACCAAGGCACGUGCUACAGGGAACCAUGCAAUCCACAUACUUGAAGGCAAUGAUGUCAAAUUGCCUGAGAUGGAAAUAGCUGUGAUCUUGAAUGGAAUUUACAGCUGUGUUAGAAAAUGA